CAGCAUCUCUCGGGGUGCGAUUGCGUGUUUUUGUUGCGCGAACGCUGAGAAGGUCUUCGACCUAACCCGCUGAACUUGAACUGGUUAGAACCAGCGUAGGGAAGAGAAUCAUUUAAUCG
Molecule: non-coding RNA, 119 nt
Filed under: Thiomicrospira aerophila
Lineage: Bacteria; Pseudomonadati; Pseudomonadota; Gammaproteobacteria; Thiotrichales; Piscirickettsiaceae
Description: Thioalkalimicrobium aerophilum TPP sequence
Rfam family: TPP riboswitch aptamer (THI element)
About the family: Vitamin B(1) in its active form thiamin pyrophosphate (TPP) is an essential coenzyme that is synthesised by coupling of pyrimidine and thiazole moieties in bacteria. The previously detected thiamin-regulatory element, thi box was extended, resulting in a new, highly conserved RNA secondary structure, the THI element, which is widely distributed in eubacteria and also occurs in some archaea. Analysis of operon structures identified a large number of new candidate thiamin-regulated genes, mostly transporters, in various prokaryotic organisms.
Source: RNAcentral